RNAcentral lists this ribosomal RNA (686 nucleotides) under Escherichia sp. Its description in RNAcentral is "bacterial SSU rRNA". It matches the Rfam family "Bacterial small subunit ribosomal RNA", at positions 808 to 1494 of the family's 1533-position model. The record is from RNAcentral. Lineage: Bacteria; Pseudomonadati; Pseudomonadota; Gammaproteobacteria; Enterobacterales; Enterobacteriaceae.
GAUGUCGACUUGGAGGUUGUGCCCUUGAGGCGUGGCUUCCGGAGCUAACGCGUUAAGUCGACCGCCUGGGGAGUACGGCCGCAAGGUUAAAACUCAAAUGAAUUGACGGGGGCCCGCACAAGCGGUGGAGCAUGUGGUUUAAUUCGAUGCAACGCGAAGAACCUUACCUGGUCUUGACAUCCACAGAACAUUCCAGAGAUGGGAUGGUGCCUUCGGGAACUGUGAGACAGGUGCUGCAUGGCUGUCGUCAGCUCGUGUUGUGAAAUGUUGGGUUAAGUCCCGCAACGAGCGCAACCCUUAUCCUUUGUUGCCAGCGGUCCGGCCGGGAACUCAAAGGAGACUGCCAGUGAUAAACUGGAGGAAGGUGGGGAUGACGUCAAGUCAUCAUGGCCCUUACGACCAGGGCUACACACGUGCUACAAUGGCGCAUACAAAGAGAAGCGACCUCGCGAGAGCAAGCGGACCUCAUAAAGUGCGUCGUAGUCCGGAUUGGAGUCUGCAACUCGACUCCAUGAAGUCGGAAUCGCUAGUAAUCAUGGAUCAGAAUGCCACGGUGAAUACGUUCCCGGGCCUUGUACACACCGCCCGUCACACCAUGGGAGUGGGUUGCAAAAGAAGUAGGUAGCUUAACCUUCGGGAGGGCGCUUACCACUUUGUGAUUCAUGACUGGGGUGAAGUCGUAACAA